Molecule: ribosomal RNA, 233 nt
Filed under: uncultured bacterium
Lineage: Bacteria
Description: partial 16S ribosomal RNA
Rfam family: Bacterial small subunit ribosomal RNA
Source: RNAcentral
UUCGGAAUUACUGGGCGUAAAGGGCUCGUAGGUGGCCAACUAAGUCAGACGUGAAAUCCCUCAGCUUAACUGGGGAACUGCGUCUGAUACUGGAUGGCUUGGAUUCGGGAGAGGAAUGCGGAAUUCCAGGUGUAGCGGUGAAAUGCGUAGAUAUCUGGAGGAACACCGGUGGCGAAGGCGGCAUCCUGGACCAAUUCUGACGCUGAGGAGCGAAAGCCAGGGGAGCAAACGGG